GAUGAACGCUGGCGGCGUGCCUAAUACAUGCAAGUCGAGCGAACGGACGAGAAGCUUGCCUCUCUGAUGUUAGCGGCGGACGGGUGAGUAACACGUGGAUAACCUACCUAUAAGACUGGGAUAACUUCGGGAAACCGGAGCUAAUACCGGAUGAUAUUUUGAACCGCAUGGUUGAAAAGUGAAAGACGGUCUUGCUGUGAGUUAUAGAUGGAUCCGCGCUGCAUUAGCUAGUUGGUAAGGUAACGGCUUACCAAGGCAACGAUGCAUAGCCGACCUGAGAGCGUGAUCGGCCACCCUGGAACUGUGACACGGUCCAGACUCCUACGGGAGGCAGCAGUGGGGAAUCUUCCGCAAUGGGCGAAAGCCUGACGGAGCAACGCCGCGUGAGUGAUGAAAGUCUUCAGAUCGUAAAGCUCUGUUAUUAGGGAAGAACAUAUGUGUAAGUAACUGUGCACAUCUUGACGGUACCUAAUCAGAAAGCCACGGCUAACUACGUG
This 497-nucleotide ribosomal RNA is filed under the name uncultured bacterium. Its description in RNAcentral is "partial 16S ribosomal RNA". It matches the Rfam family "Bacterial small subunit ribosomal RNA", at positions 28 to 507 of the family's 1533-position model. The record is from RNAcentral.